UUCCUACGGGAGGCAGCAGUGGGGAAUAUUGCACAAUGGGCGAAAGCCUGAUGCAGCGACGCCGCGUGAGGGAUGACGGCCUUCGGGUUGUAAACCUCUUUCAGCAGGGAAGAAGCCACAAGUGACGGUACCUGCAGAAGAAGCGCCGGCUAACUACGUGCCAGCAGCCGCGGUAAUACGUAGGGCGCAAGCGUUGUCCGGAAUUAUUGGGCGUAAAGAGCUCGUAGGCGGUUUGUCGCGUCUGCUGUGAAAGCCCGGGGCUUAACCCCGGGUGUGCAGUGGGUACGGGCAGACUAGAGUGCAGUAGGGGAGACUGGAAUUCCUGGUGUAGCGGUGGAAUGCGCAGAUAUCAGGAGGAACACCGAUGGCGAAGGCAGGUCUCUGGGCUGUUACUGACGCUGAGGAGCGAAAGCAUGGGGAGCGAACAGGAUUAGAUACCCUGGUAGUCCAUGCCGUAAACGUUGGGCACUAGGUGUGGGGGACAUUCCACGUUUUCCGCGCCGUAGCUAACGCAUUAAGUGCCCCGCCUGGGGAGUACGGCCGCAAGGCUAAAACUCAAAGGAAUUGACGGGGGCCCGCACAAGCGGCGGAGCAUGCGGAUUAAUUCGAUGCAACGCGAAGAACCUUACCAAGGCUUGACAUAUACCGGAUCGUUCCAGAGAUGGUUCUUCCCCUUUGGGGUCGGUAUACAGGUGGUGCAUGGUUGUCGUCAGCUC
RNAcentral lists this ribosomal RNA (716 nucleotides) under Kocuria palustris. Its description in RNAcentral is "bacterial SSU rRNA". It matches the Rfam family "Bacterial small subunit ribosomal RNA", at positions 336 to 1061 of the family's 1533-position model. The record is from RNAcentral. Lineage: Bacteria; Bacillati; Actinomycetota; Actinomycetes; Micrococcales; Micrococcaceae.